Small nuclear RNA from Peromyscus eremicus (cactus mouse), 102 nucleotides. The record is from RefSeq and is a predicted model, not a curated record. Lineage: Eukaryota; Metazoa; Chordata; Mammalia; Rodentia; Cricetidae.
UUGCUUUGUCUGCACAUGUAGUGAAAUUGGAAUGAUACAGAAAAGUUUAGCACGGUCCUUGUGAAGGAUGACAUGUAUUUUUGUGAAGCAGUCCAUUUUUUC